RNAcentral lists this ribosomal RNA (506 nucleotides) under uncultured bacterium. Its description in RNAcentral is "partial 16S ribosomal RNA". It matches the Rfam family "Bacterial small subunit ribosomal RNA", at positions 31 to 523 of the family's 1533-position model. The record is from RNAcentral.
AGAGAACGCUGGCGGUAGGCCUAACACAUGCAAGUCGAACGGCAGCACAGAGGAGCUUGCUCCUUGGGUGGCGAGUGGCGGACGGGUGAGGAAUACAUCGGAAUCUACUCUGUCGUGGGGGAUAACGUAGGGAAACUUACGCUAAUACCGCAUACGACCUACGGGUGAAAGCAGGGGAUCUUCGGACCUUGCGCGAUUGAAUGAGCCGAUGUCGGAUUAGCUAGUUGGCGGGGUAAAGGCCCACCAAGGCGACGAUCCGUAGCUGGACUGAGAGGAUGAUCAGCCACACUGGAACUGGGACACGGUCCAGGCUCCUACGGGAGGCAGCAGUGGGGAAUAUUGGACAAUGGGCGCAAGCCUGAUCCAGCCAUACCGCGUGGGUGAAGAAGGCCGUCGGGUUGUAAAGCCCUUUUGUUGGGAAGGAGAUCCAUCUGGUUAAUACCCGGGUGUGAUGACGGUACCCAAAGAAUAAGCACCGGCUAACUUCGUGCCAGCAGCCGCAGUAA